UUAGAUUUUAUUUAUUAAUUUUGUUUAUUUGUAUUUAAAUUAUUAAAAAUAAUUAUAUAAUUAAAAGUUCUAGUAUUGUUUAAAGAAAAAAUAAAUUUAAUAAUAGUUUAAUAGUAUUGUAAAAGAAAAUUGAAAUAAUUUGAAAAAUUUUUAAUUUAAAAGAAAAUUUAAUUUAUUGUACCUUGUGUAUCAGCGUUUAUUAAAUAAAAAAUAAUUAAUUUUAUUUUUCUCGAUUUUAAAAGAGUUAAUAUAAUAUAAAAGUUAAUGUGAUAAAAUUAUUUUAAAUAUUAUAUUAGAAAUGAAAUGUUAUUCGUUUUUAAAGGUAUCUAGUUUUUCAAGAAAUGAAUUUAAUUCAGAAAUUGUAAAUAUAUUUAAAAAAUUUUUUAAUUAAAUAAUUUACAAUUUUAAUAUUUUAUGGGAUAAGCUAUAAAAUAAAUUUUUAAAAAUAAUAAAUAGAUUUAAUAAAUAUAUGCUUAGAAUUAGCAAUUAUUUAUAAAUAUGUUAUAAUUUAUUUUAUAAAUAAAAUUAUUUAUUAUAUUUUAAAUAUUUAUUGAAAUAUUAAUUUUAAUUUUUAAAAUUAAGAAAUAAUGAUAAAAUUAGUAUAUUUUAUUGUAAAAAUAAAUUUAAAUGAAAAGUUU
RNAcentral lists this ribosomal RNA (638 nucleotides) under Drosophila nigella. RNAcentral's name for it is "partial 16S ribosomal RNA". Lineage: Eukaryota; Metazoa; Arthropoda; Insecta; Diptera; Drosophilidae. The record is from RNAcentral.